UUCAUUUGGGGGCUCGGUCUGGGAUCGAGACCUGCCCAGGGACCACCGACCCAAGUCUGGGAGGUUUCUGCUUCUGAAAGACAUCUGAGUACCAGUUGCUGACUACAGGCUGUUCUAAGUAGACUGCGAGCCCUGGACUUGCUAUGGAUAUGAACCAGUCUGCUGAUGUGGACACCCCCUAUCUCUGCAACAGUGUCUGCUAACCAGAAGCCCCUGAUGGAUUCCCCAUUGCCUAAAUUCCUUUUUGCUUUUGACUAGCAUUUCAACCUUCUGGGGUCCCUAACUUCGUCCCAAAGUCAGCAGGAAGCAGUUUGGAAAAGAAUUUCGCCGUCCAUUUUCCCUGGUUAAAAUGCUAAGUCAAAAGGAACUCCCUUGCAUGGGGAUGCGAAACGACAGGGGAUGCUCACUGGAAGCCUUCAUCCUCAUGGGACAAGAUUCAGGUAACCAGAGGAUGGCAAAAGGGCUCCACCGGUACCACCUCUAUGCCUCUCCUUAUUUCCUUUACGGAUGAGAGUAAGAAAGCAACAGAAUGGCAGAAGGGAAAUGCUUGGGGCCUUCGCUAGUACCUGUCGGGACCAGAUGGGGGGGGGGCAUCUUUAAAAUUAGACUCAAAGUAAAAACUAUCACCAACCUGAAUAUGUUUAUAGCGUACUAAAGAAAUCAUCCCGACAUCAGAGGGAGCCAAUAUCCUUAACCAUGGCCCUAUUAUUAGAAGGAGUAACAAUGGGGGGCAUAGCAGCUGGCAUAGGGACCCCUGGUCCCUAUUUUUAAUCCUUAUAUUUGGUCCCUACAUUCUAAUAGACCCAAAAUAUCCAGAGACCUCUGAAUGAAAGAUUCCAUUCAGUUACAAGAGAAAUGGGGGAAUGAAAGACCCCCCGCCCUUAGCUUUUUCUUUUAAGUUUGCCUCCUCCUCCGGUCGGCAGCUCGCAGAGCGCAUGGGGAAUGCAUCCUCCCCUGCACUCCCCGACCCUUGAUCCCCACAGCUGCCGGCUCCCACUUCCCCGCCUCCGCGCAAGGCCGGCCCCCUCCGGAUCGCUCCGUCCCAAGGUUAGCCAUCUGGACGCGGCAGAAGAUAAAGGCCGUUUCGCCUGACUACUACUGUGCCUUUUUCCCCUAUAAAAGGACCCCCCUUCCGGGGCUCAGGGCUUGGCCUAACAGAAGCUAAGUCCCCGGGUACACGCGCCACCAAUAAAGCCUCUUGCUUUUUGC
This 1209-nucleotide long non-coding RNA is filed under the name Cricetulus griseus (Chinese hamster). RNAcentral describes it as "lncRNA (ENSCGRG00015032800.1)". Lineage: Eukaryota; Metazoa; Chordata; Mammalia; Rodentia; Cricetidae. The record is from RNAcentral.